GUGUCGGGCUGCGCUGGUCGGGGCGGGUUCUCUGUGAGGACCCGCAUCCCUGGCGUUCCAGCCGGGGAGGAGGCGGGCCGACCCGCGGCGUGCCUCUUCGUGCCUCUUCGUGCCUCUUCGUGCGAGCUCCGGCCGCGAGAGGAUGGCCUCUCCACAGGCCGGCUGGGGAGGCCUGUGAGAGUCUGGUGUUUGCCCUGACACUUCCCCUCUGCAGACUGCCAUUUCUUCAGCAUCCCUUUGUUAUCAGGUGCCCCAAAUGAAUUUUCCUUCUUAAGAAUCACAGAAUCGUCACAGUUGGAAAAGACCUCUAAGAUCACCAAGUCCAACUAUCAACCCGGAAAAAACCCACCAUGCCCACUACAGCAUGUCCUGAAGUGCCACAUCUACACAUUAUUUGAAAACCUCCAGAGAUGGUGACUCAGCCACCUCCCUGAGUAGCCUGUUCCAGUGCCUGUACUCUUUGAGUAAAGAAAUUCUUCCUAAUUCCUAAGGGCUCAAAAAAAUUAAUUCUGGAGAAUAUGCUUUGAUUUUCCUCCUUACUAAUUUCAACCUAGUUUUUUAUACAUAAUGCUAUUCAUCAACUUCAAAUUAUAAUUUUGAGGAGUACCUUAUUUUUGUUAUAGCUGUUCUUCAGUAACUUACACUUUCCUCCAGUGUGCUAUUUGGUUAUUCCUUUAAUACAUUUACCUAUCUACAGCUCUUUUAAUUAUGUUAGACUCUUCUGGAAUGUCUUUAAAGUUUUCCUCAAAGACUCUGAAUCAUAUAUAUUAAUCGCCUUCUCUGACACUCAGUAUUUCUCUUGCUCUAGCAAAUUAGGCUGAACACAGGUUUUGAAAACUUCUCUUUUCACUUUUGUUUGAGGGAUUUUUUUUCAACCUCACGUUAGAGGUUUAAUUUUGCAUUAGUAAGAAGUAUUAUGUACAAGUACAGAAGCUUAGGGCCACAGGUAGCUAUCUUCUUUUCUCCCAGGAGAAAAAUGCAAGCAUUGUGCUGACUGCUACUGAUUUAUAGAACACAAAAGCCUCAUUCAUUCUCAUUUCAAGGUCAUAGCUAUGUGAUCUUCUUGACAAGUUUGAACAACUUGCAGAUAAGCAUCAAGAAGUCCUCAUGAAUAACAAUGACUAAACUGUCAAGACAGUAAUAGUAUGAUUGAAGAGAGCAUCCUCUAAAUGCAACAUGUACUAAGGAAUGUGAAGCAAACUUCCAUGCCUUACAGUUGUGAUAAAAUGGUAUGUGCCAUUUUUAAUGUAAUGGUGGAUUACUGAUUGGAAACAAGUAUUAAAUGAGUGGGUUAUUUAGCCAAAAAGAGAGAGGUUUCGACAUUUUUAAUAAAGCAGAGUGAUGUGCAGGAAGCUUAGGGAAUAUAAUCUCUUUCUCUAGCUCCUUUGUUCCUCUGUGGGAGGCCACCGUAUAGCAUUCAAGGCAAUUCCUUGAUGCUGCUUAGUUUCACACAUGCAGAUUGACAGGGUGCACACUUUGGCACAAUUUUCUAUUUCUGAUCAGCAUUACAAAUAGCAGAGGUGGCAAAGAUACAAACAGAUCUAUACUGGCAGUAUAACUAGAGUAAUUAUUCAGGGAUCUGUACUGCAAACACAUUUAGUCCUUUACUUUCAUGUGGAGUUCAAAAGGCUGUGAAAAUCUCCUGGUAUGCUGCACAGUUGUUCCAUGCUGCACAUGUUGAUAAUAAUGUGGUGUGGUACCAUGUGAGCCUGAGACAAUAAGAUACAUCCACCAAGGUUCUAAAAAGUGAUAAACUGGGUUUAUUUAAUACCUAGAUAAAUUUCAUUGAAGCAGGACCCAUGAAAAUUGGAUGGUAAAAAUUCCCAUUCCCAGUAUGGCUAGGAAUGCCAUGUAUACUAAUUAAGCAAACAGAAACAAGAAACCAGUUUGUAUGUAUUUUUGAGGUGCAUACAAUUCACAACAGGACAGGUUUCCAGUCUCAGUGCCAGAUAAGCCUAGCCAAAAAGGAUAAUUGAUUGGUUUUAUGCACCAUUGCACGGUGUCUAAACGCAUUCACAAUCUAUGGUUGACUGCAUUUUGAAUAUUGCCAAAAUUAACACACCCCCCUCACUGUUGAACAAGACCAUAAUAUUUAUAUUGACAAUUGAGAACUCUGAGUAAUACAUAGUCCCAUCACGUCUUUUCUAUAAAAUUGAGAUGCUUUUAUAUCCAAAAUAAAAAACAGAUUGCGCAGUCCAAAUAGUUAGGAUUUUGUCAGCAUUAUUCAAUUAAAACUGCUUAUUUGUGUAAGUUGUGUCUUUCUCAUAUAAGUAUGAAAAUACAUUCUCACAGAAUGGACUUGGAUUCCAUUCAACUUCCAGUUUUUCUUGUAUGUUCUUAUAGGUAGCUAUCUGCUCUCUCAAAAUGAGAUAUAAAGGAAGAAGCUGCACAAUUAAGAACUUUAAAGACUAACAGUGAAGUCCUGAAGGCAAUCAGGGCAUUGAGGAUAGAGGUGUCAUGCUGUGUUGUUGUCAGAAGGGCUCAAAGGCACUUGUCCACACUUGACACACUUGACUAUUCUGCAAGGGCUGUGAGGUCUGACUGCCUUGCCGAGGUGACUGAGGAUGCUUUGAGGUUGUGAAGCACCAUUUUUAAUUUUCAUGGGAAUUGUCUCAGGUACCAGUUCCAAAUAUUCAGUUGUGUGAUUUUUUAAGUUCUAUAAGAAUUCUCCAGAACUCCUUUCUAACUUUGUUGGAGCUAUUUCUAAAAUAUUAAUUGGGACUUCUCUGGUUCUUUUAGGCUGUAUGGGAGAAGAACAGGGAAAAUUGUUCAGGACAUGUUCUUUCCUUUUGGCACACACAUUGUAUGCCAAAGCUGUUUAUGUAUGUGGUUAGCACACUAAUGGAGAGGGAAAAAAACACCUAACCAAAAAACAAACAAACAAAAAAACAAAACCCCACAAAACAAAACAAAAAAACCUCACAACCAAAAACAACACAAAAAACCCACCAACAAACCAAACUAGAAAGCCAUUUGCAAUGAAUGGCAGUUUAGUUUGUUCUUAUUUGUGGUGGGGUUUUUUUGCUAAUGAUUAUUUGGGGGAAAAAAACCAGUAUUUAGCUACAAUCCCAUCUAUCCAGGAGUUAAAUAUUCAGCACUGCUUGCUGGUCACCUAGUGUUAAAAACAUCAGAUUUACUGGCAGUUAUUAAUGUUCUCAUAGUAGGUGGUUUAGACUGUUCUGAGAGUUAAGAUGGUACUGUAUCAAAACCUUAGAGAUACAUAUUCAACUUCAGUAAAUUCCCAACAUGCACUGGCAGACACAGGAAAUCUUGUAGAAAACCAUCCCACUGCAGAUUAGCUGUUAUUUUAUUCCUGGCCCUACCAAAUAUUUUAAUCAAGGCAUUUACAUAUAUAAAGUGUAAUUUCAGAAAAUCUGCACAUUUUUUGUUGUCUUUCAAGCUGAGACUAGAUUUAGAAGCUAUUCAGACAUCGACAGUUAUAAGCAAGUGUCUAAUGUCAGCUUCCAAAACACCUAGCAUAAACCAGGUUUCUCAGUCAAUCAGAUUACUAAACAUUAAUUCUUGGGACUUUUAAAACACUUACUAGAACUGCACUUUGUCCCAGAGCACCAAAGGGAAACUGCAAUACUGCAGAAUUUUUUUACAUAGUUUGAGUAAUUCCUCUGCAGAGUCCAUACUGGAUUCAAAUUGUGCUCUGCUACGAUGACUUGUUACUUGCUCGAGUUCCCUACCACUUGUAUAAACAUAUUCUCAAGUAUUCUUCUCCCCAGUACAGUUUUGUGAACUUGGACAUGUAUCUUUGUUAGUCAUGGGGCCAAAUACUGCCAAUAUGUAUUGGCAUACAUACCAUGCCUCUGCAUAUCAUUGCAAGAUAAUAAUAUGAAAAAUGAUAGGGUGGGCGUAAUAAAAGUUUAGUAUGAACAUUACAGUGAAAUCACCAUGUAGAAAAACCUCAAAAGUCAAUCACAACUAUGUUGUUUUUGAGAAUCCUGAAGUUCAUUAAGCUGCAUCUUCACGAACCUUCUCCAGCCCUUCAUCAUUUAGUAUUACCUGCUCCCUUCUUCUCAGGCAUGAAGGCAAGAAAGAAGAAACAGAAUCAGAAACAGCUAUGAAAGAUAACUAUUCUAUUUUCAUUCUGCUGAUAAUUGGCAGUAACAUAACAAAUUUAUGAAUGUGAUUAUAUGAAAGUAAGAGGAAAACAGUGCUCUUGAUCUAGGUUUGUUCCAGGCCUAAAUCCUAUUUCCUCAGCAGGACAGGAUUUUAAUGGUGGCUUUUGCCAUGUACACAGAUUCAAGCCAAUUGAAAAAGAAUCUAUUAAUUGCCUUUGAAAGACUGCUACAGUGUCCAGAUGUCAUUUGAUCCUAACUCUUUUAUUAGCUUUAGCUACUUUUUAGUACCUUUAGCUUAGGUACAGUACUGAGUAUAUGGUAAUCAUAAGACAAUAAGAAGAGUAGUAACAUAGUGUACAAGUAAUUAAUUCACACAGCUUAGGUCAGUAGAGCUUUAGUAGACUGAACAGAAGUUACAGGAUCCCAAAAUAUCACAUCAGUGAGACAGGUAAGUGCAGAAGGCAUGAAGAAACAAUUUCAGUGCCAGGUAGGCAAUAAACAUAAUUUAUCCCAUGUUUAGAUUAAGAAUGCAUGAUCCAUGUUACAUAAAUUAAGACUUUUUGUAUGAUCAAGAUAAUAAUUUUCACAGUUGUGGUACUGUGAUUGCACUCCUUUUCCCUUGAAUCAAUGUACCUGCAAGUUCUUACAUACGUAAACUGAAAUGCUUGUUCAGGCUUUAGUUUUAUUUUGUAUUUGCAUAUAAUCAAUAAUUUGCAUUUAUUUCAUAUUACAGUAUUAAUUCACCACAGGAUGUGUAUUUGCCAUGUUACAUCUUCAUGGUUUUAACUGAACAAUUAGGUUAUUACACUUUUUUUGUUGUUACUGGGAACACCUGUGCCCUCUAAACACAUUCCCUGAACCCUCAUGGUUCCACCACGGGUAGUGUUUAAGGGUCAGCAAUGGACACAGACCUUCCAAAGUCUGAAGUAAUUCAUUUAGAACUGCUUUUGUACAUCUCUGCUUGGCAUAGUGUGGGAUCAUGGAAAUACAGCCCCAAUGCCAACAUAAUAAAAAGACAAUGCCAGAAGUUUACAUCUGAACAUCACCUUUGGCAGCCAUCACAACAAAAUAUUUGAAAAUUUAAAGUUAAGGGAUUUUUUCAAAAUCUGUAGGUUAUGAAGCCAGCCCAGUGACAAAGAAUUCUCUGAAUUAAUAAGCACACUUCCAUCAGACAUCAGUAAGAACAGUAUUGACUCCUACAGGUAGAGAGAGCUAUGUAAACAUCCUUUUAGAAACAGUUAUUACUUAAAGACUAAGAUGGUCAAUUUUGUAAGGGAGCAGUGUUGAAAGUUUUAAACAUACAUAAUAUGCUUUUGUGAAAAAUACCAAUAUUAGUAACUUCAUUUCAAGUACAGAAUACAGAAGUUUUACUUACUGGACUAACAGCAACACUGUUACAGUAACUUCUCCAUUAAAAUAUCUCCCCAUGAAGCCUCAGCUUGCACAUUAUAGAAGACCAAAAAUGCCAGUUAUCAUGUUCCGGGAAGCAUGUGUGAUCAUAGCAAUGGAGUUUUUUUUAAAAUAUACGUUAGGACAGAUACAAACCAUUGUGGAAGUGCACCUGCCACAUUUUUAAACAUUAGGAUGUAACUUUCUGAGACCAGAGUAAUAGGAUAAUUUGAAGUACUGUUGGUUACAUAGCUACAGAAGAGCUGCAACAGGCAAGAAUUUCUUUUCUGACUGCUGAUCAGACUUGGAAGCUGAACUGCAGGAACACUCCAGCAGGCAGAAUGGCCAGAAAAUUAAGAGUUGGUUAUGUUGAAAUGAAAUAUACAUCCAAAUGGUGCUGGUAAGACUGAGGAUUUAUGUAUCUGUUGGAACACUUCUCCAUCAGGCCUGUCUCAUUUCUGGUGAUGGUGUUAUUUAUUCUCCAGGGUAGUGCUCUGAUGUCAAAUCAGACUGAAGCUGCAUUUGAAUGAGCUGGUUCAUCCCUGUGGUGCAGCCUGCUGGGACAAUUCUGCCAUAGGCUGUGUGUUGACUAUUUUGCCUUCUUCCCUUACACUAAUCAUUGUGCAAUAUAUACUAAUUUAUAUUACAUAUAAUUCUAGAAAAACAAAUAAACUCAAAUAUCUUGGUUUUAGGCAGUAGUCUAACCAUUCAAGUUAAUCACUAGCUUAAAAUUGAAAGUAGUCUGAACUUGUAUUAUUUAUUGUCAAAUAAAAACAUUCUCCCAAAAUUCUGCUCCAGAACUUGUUAGGGUCACUGUGAUGUCAUCAGUGUCAUCAGCAAGAUUAAAAGUAUGAGCAAGAGAAGUCAUUCAAAUGCCUCGCUUUAGACAGUGGGGAAUAUUCGAAACAUCUGCACAGUGCUUGCAGAUACCAGACCUAUGGGAGAGCUGCACUAUUCUGGAGCAAUAGCUGGAAUGCAGGCGGGAUAUCCUGCUGAUCUUUCCUCAGGCUCCUGGGUUUCACCUGGUAAACACUGAUAAAAUAUUUCCGGUAACCAAAAAAAAAAAACCAACAAACAAAAACCAAACAAAAAGAAAAAUGCAUUUAUCUACAGUAUUUUGCACUUACUUCACGCCUUCCCAAGGCAAAUUUAUUUACAACCUCAAAAGCAAGUUAAUUCUACUAGUUUCUAUGCAGCAUUAGUGUAACACAGGCAGUCUUAAAUUUGUCCCAGAUAGUUAUCUUGUUUUUGAUGGAUGUUCUCUAGGCAUGCAGAACUGUACAAACAUGUGAAAUGGAAACUAAAUCUGCAGUAGGAUCUGUUUCUUAGGGGGGGGUGGACUAGAUAGCCUCCAAAGAUCCCUUCCAACAUAAAAAGAGCUGAUUCAAUAAAAUGAAAUUUUUAAAAAUACCUUUUCUGGAAAACUCAUGCAGCACGGUACCUUUGAUGAUAACUAUUUAAUUAGAGAAUAUAGAAAAGGAAAGAAAUGCGCAAGCACCAUACUGCAGUGGUGCAUAUUGUGUCUAUUAAUUCAAAAAAGUGGUGAGUUCUAUCUUGCUAUUUUAUUUUUCAUUGUUAAAUCUUUUUAUCUUUAAAUAAAUGUGCUAUGAAAAUGCA
Molecule: long non-coding RNA, 7076 nt
Organism: Apus apus (common swift)
Lineage: Eukaryota; Metazoa; Chordata; Aves; Apodiformes; Apodidae
Exons: 3
Source: RefSeq, a predicted model, not a curated record